This 385-nucleotide ribosomal RNA is filed under the name uncultured bacterium. RNAcentral describes it as "bacterial SSU rRNA". It matches the Rfam family "Bacterial small subunit ribosomal RNA", at positions 39 to 424 of the family's 1533-position model. The record is from RNAcentral.
GGCCGCGGGAAUUCGAUUCAGGCCUAACACAUGCAAGUCGAGCGGGGUUUUCGGACCUAGCGGCGGACGGGUGAGUAAUGCGUAGGAAGAUACCCGAUAGAGGGGGAUACCAGUUGGAAACGACUGUUAAUACCGCAUAAUGUGUACGGACCAAAGUGUGGGACCUUCGGGCCACAUGCUAUCGGAUGCGCCUACGUGGGAUUAGCUAGUUGGUGAGGUAAUGGCUCACCAAGGCGACGAUCCCUAGCCGGUUUGAGAGGAUGAUCAGCCACACUGGAACUGAGACACGGUCCAGACUCCUACGGGAGGCAGCAGUGGGGAAUAUUGGACAAUGGGCGCAAGCCUGAUCCAGCCAAGGCGCGUGUGUGAAGAAGGCCUUCGGGUG